Nothobranchius furzeri (turquoise killifish) is the source of this 4191-nucleotide long non-coding RNA. The record is from Ensembl. Lineage: Eukaryota; Metazoa; Chordata; Actinopteri; Cyprinodontiformes; Nothobranchiidae.
AUGGGACUCAGCUUAGCAUUCCUGGAGAAGUUUUUCCAGACGCCAAGAAAAAUUAAAUUUUGCACGGUGGUUGGAGAGGAAAGCACAAGCCAACCAGAAGAGCACGAAGAGCUACAGAAAGUAACAUAUCUGAUAAACCUCGUCCAGACCGCAGAGGCAAGUCAUCAAACCCAACAUAGAUAUCCUCAUCUAUCUACUAUGGCACUGACAAGCCUACAUCUGUCAUGGGCUGUUUUUAUUCUCACCAUGUUUCUGCAGGUGGGCGUGUCUGGAGAGCAGGAGCAACGGCCAGCUGCAGCUCAUCUCCAAUCAUCCUCCUGGGUGUAUAGAAGAAGAAGAAGAAGAAGAGGAAGAGGAAGAAGAAGAGGAAGAAGAAUUAUUUUGCCGGAUGAUUACUCAACCUGGGAACCAUCUCCUCCAGCCAUCUCCAAGAACUUCUCAUCAGCUCCACUUAAUGCAGCUCCAUCUCCUGGCUGUACGCUCUCCACCACACCCCUACCGCCUAACCCUUUUAAACUCACCACACAGGAACUCUGGAUCUCGUCUUCAUCAAGACCCCUUUGCAACCCAUCUUCAUAAGACCAACCAGUGCUCCUUCGCACGCCCUCUAGUCACCUCCUUACAAACAUCCUGGUGUUGCAAGUCCGAGCAAUCGGUCAAGGCUUAGAAACAGUGGUCAGAGACAAGGGUCACACAAGGGUCAAGAGGACAAUAGUUCAGGACUUGCUGGUGAGGACAGAACUAGGCAAAGGGUCAAAAGACAAACUGUCUUCUCUGGAUCCACCCAUGGACACACCCCUGGGCCCGCCCCUAACUCCACCUCUGGCGGGAAAAGAAGGACUGGCAUGGAGUGAGGAAAGUCCAACUGGACCCAGAAGCUCUCAGGAAUGCUGGAGGAAGAUCUACAAUUUGCUACCAACAUGAAGAUUUAUGACCUGUGCUCUCAUUCCAGGAGUGCAGAAUGUAACUUUUGUGCCCUCAUGUGAAUACUGCAUGUAUUGAAAAUGAUACUAAAUGUCUUAUGUAGAGCUAAAAAAGUGUAUCUGGUAAAUGACCCCUUGACCUAAACUGUCAGGAGAGAAUGACUUGUGACUCUUACAUUGUUUAGAGCAGUCUCAGAAGUGAUAUAAAAGGAUGCAGCUCAGAUCGAGCGGGGCUUCGUUCUUGGGGAGAUUCUGAGAAGACAAGAGCUAGUGUAAACUAACUCUUAUUUAAUCAUUUUGAACUAAUUCCUCCGUGGGGGAUAGCAGUUGUUUUUCACUUUACCCAUUUUUGUAUUUUGAUUUUGUAAUAAACCUUUUUUGAAAAAGAAACAUAAUCCUGAUUCUUUCAGGUUUUCUCUAAAGCUUCACGUUUGGGGCCCUGGCCAUAAUUGCACAGAGGUAAGCAUGUCGAAGAUCGGUCUCUGAAUUAUCAGGACUUACUUUACAGUUUAUAACAGAAUAAUAUAAAGAAACCUUAAGAUAAGGGAAGUUUUAACUUCCCCCUCCUUGCGAGUAACGAGUUGUCUUAAGGGCGAUAAAAGCAAAAUAUUCGAGGUUAUUUUGGCUCUGAUUGCAGGUUGAAAAAGUCUCUAAUCAGCUGGAAGGUUGGAUUAAUAAAUAAAUUGAUAAACUUAUGAUAGCCUGAUCAACUAGCAUAAAUCAUUUUAUAGUUACCAACCUCCCACAUAAGCUGUUAGAGGCGCAAUUAAUUCCGGGUAAUCCAAACAAUUGCUGAGAGGCUUGGCUUGCCUCCAGACUUCUCUCUAGUAUCUUAACCAAAAGGUAACGAGUUUAAAAGAAGUGUAGUACUCUGGGGCUGGCUAUUCGUGCAAGUCAUUUCACCUUUAAAAUAAAAGACAAGAUUCUAAUUAGGUAGUCCAAACCCGGAUCUAGUACAAUUAUACUCGUCGAUACACCCCCGAACCCUGAUGGAUGCACCGUCUCAUAAGUUCUAACGGAACUGGGUUUUAAAGGAACCGGUAAAUGGGACGGGCACGCGACACUGGUACUUCCUGCAUCAGUUUGAGCAGCGCUUUGAGUUCUCCAUUCUAAAAUAAAUUAUUUACUUUCUUGCCUCCCUGUUUCCGCCUCUGAUUCUGCAUGUCGUGGGUCAAAAGAAUACCACAGAACAUGACAACAUCACCAUACCACUCCAAUCCCCACUGGAAAUAAAGAGCCUACGAAAGGGAAGACAAGAGAGAAAUUCAAGCCUUACUGCCCCUUUUGUAGCCGUACAGAACAUUAUUUGAGUUCCUGCUCCGACUUCAGUAAGCUGAGCACUACACAGAUUGUCACAUGGGUUAAUGACGAUAAGAGAUGCUGGAGAUGUGGUCGAAGUCAUCAGCCUGACAGUUGAAAUAUGAAGAAAGCUUGCGCCACUUGUGGAGAACAACACCUGCAGAUUCUACAUGAAGCAGCCUCCAGCUCAAACAAGAGUAUCCUGACACUGAGUACAGCUUCCAGUAUGGUGUAUCUGGACCAGGCCACCCAUUCAGGCCGAGUUAUGCUUAAAGUUGUCCCAGUUACCCUCCACAGUAAUGGACGAUCUCUGUCCACCUACGCCAUUCUUGACGAUGAAUUUUAAGGUUCUUCAAAUGGUUUUUAAGUGUCGUAACAGUCUUGGGCCUUAUCUCUCAGAACUGUUUUUACCAUAUGAACCCUCACGGCCUCUGCGUGCCUCUGGCAGGCGUCUCCUGGUCAUGCCUAAAAUCAGGACACACACUCAAUGCGAGGCGUCCUUCCAGUUUUACGGCCCUCGCCUCUGGAACGAUCUGCCGGAGGACCUCGGGGCCGCAGAGAACGUUCAUGUUUUUAAGUCCAGGCUCAAGACCCAUCUAUUUAGGUUAGCUUUUAUCUAAUUAUUUAUUAUAGUUUGAUUUCUUGUUUACGUGAUUAUAUUUUAUUGCUUGCUUUGCAUGUUUUAUAUGAUUAUAUUUUAGCAUUGUUCUAUUAUUUAAUAUUAUAAUUUUACUGUCUAUGAUUCUAUUUGUUACUUAUUUUCUUACUUUUGACAUUAAUAUUAGCUCUUUUAUUUUCAUAUUUUACUAAUUUUAAUCCAGUGUUUUCUCUGUAGGGGCCCUCUGCCACAGGGGCGGUGGUUGACUGUUGCUUCCUGGGCGCUCUAUAGGUGGUGUUUAAGAGGAGGUGGGGGUCCAUGCUCCCCCUCCUCUGAGCGCUCUGACUUAGUGUGGAAGACCUGAUGCUGCCGGGGCAGACGGCUCCUCUGAUGGCGUUUCCUUGCAUUACCUUACUUGGCUCAUCUGGACUCAGCCAAAUAUAAUUUUUUACUGAUGUGUGUGUGUGUCUGUUAAUGUUUUUAAACUGUUAUGGGAAUUUGGGGUCAUUUUGUAAAGCAAUUUGAGUAGCACUUUACUUGAAAAGCGCUUUAUAAAUAAAAUCUGAUUGAUAAAAUCUGAUUGAUGGUUCAGAACGGACCAUUGUUCUAUCAGCAGCAGUUCAUUAUCUGCAGUUAAAAUUAUGGAGGAGUCCCUCACACUUCGGACCAUCAGACAGGAGGUGUUGCAGUUACAAGGAGCAUCCAUUUCUUUCAAACUAAGUGUGUCCUGCUCUCCCCAAAUUAAACAUCACAACAAAAACGUUUUUGCUGAUGAAGAACUUAAUUUGGCCAAAUAAUCUUGUCCCGUGGACAUACUCUGUCAGAGAUACCCACAUCUGGUUGUCAUUCCCAUCAAAGCAUUUAAGGAUGUGCAGCCUAUGCUUCUUAUAGGCUCAGACAAUGCCCAGCUCAUCACCCCUCAGUCACCAGUCAAUCAAUGAAUCAAUCAAUCAAUCAAUCAAUCAAUCAAUCAAUCAAUCAAUCAAAGCUUUAUUUAUAUAGCGCCUUCCGCAACCCUGUCGGGUGGCCCAAGGCGCUGAACAUAGUACAUGACAAAGUUAACUGAACAUAGUACAUGACAAAGUUAAAUAUGGUGAAUAAAUCGAAAAUAAAAGCAGUUCAAAUUACAAAAAAGGUGAAACAUUCUAGUACAGGACAAAUGUGUAAAACAAUGGAUAAAGUGAACCAAUGAAAACUGUGAAAUAAAAUCAACAUUAAAGAUGGCCAAAUUCAAACAUGUUCAGGAAACGCCAAGUGGAGGAGGUGGGUUUUUAGGUGACUCUUAAAGACUGGCAGAGAUGGGGACAGCCUAACUGAGGGUGGCAACUGGUUCCAGAGUGACGGUGCUAGGACUGAGAAAGCCCGGUCCCC